Molecule: ribosomal RNA, 1340 nt
Filed under: Salmonella enterica
Lineage: Bacteria; Pseudomonadati; Pseudomonadota; Gammaproteobacteria; Enterobacterales; Enterobacteriaceae
Description: partial 23S ribosomal RNA
Rfam family: Bacterial large subunit ribosomal RNA
Source: RNAcentral
CCCCGGCGAGGGGAGUGAAAAAGAACCUGAAACCGUGUACGUACAAGCAGUGGGAGCACAGGUUUACCUGUGUGACUGCGUACCUUUUGUAUAAUGGGUCAGCGACUUAUAUUCUGUAGCAAGGUUAACCGUAUAGGGGAGCCGGAGGGAAACCGAGUCUUAAUUGGGCGUUAAGUUGCAGGGUAUAGACCCGAAACCCGGUGAUCUAGCCAUGGGCAGGUUGAAGGUUGGGUAACACUAACUGGAGGACCGAACCGACUAAUGUUGAAAAAUUAGCGGAUGACCUGUGGCUGGGGGUGAAAGGCCAAUCAAACCGGGAGAUAGCUGGUUCUCCCCGAAAGCUAUUUAGGUAGCGCCUCGUGAAUUCAUCUCCGGGGGUAGAGCACUGUUUCGGCUAGGGGGCCAUCCCGGCUUACCAACCCGAUGCAAACUGCGAAUACCGGAGAAUGUUAUCACGGGAGACACACGGCGGGUGCUAACGUCCGUCGUGAAGAGGGAAACAACCCAGACCGCCAGCUAAGGUCCCAAAGUCAUGGUUAAGUGGGAAACGAUGUGGGAAGGCCCAGACAGCCAGGAUGUUGGCUUAGAAGCAGCCAUCAUUUAAAGAAAGCGUAAUAGCUCACUGGUCGAGUCGGCCUGCGCGGAAGAUGUAACGGGGCUAAACCAUGCACCGAAGCUGCGGCAGCGAACGUAUCACCCAAGACAACUUUACGGAGUUGACGAUUGACGGAGCGAAGCGACGUCAAAGCGUUCAUUAAAGUCGAGUUGGCUUAGGGAUACGUUCGUUGGGUAGGGGAGCGUUCUGUAAGCCUGUGAAGGUGUGUCGUGAGGCAUGCUGGAGGUAUCAGAAGUGCGAAUGCUGACAUAAGUAACGAUAAAGCGGGUGAAAAGCCCGCUCGCCGGAAGACCAAGGGUUCCUGUCCAACGUUAAUCGGGGCAGGGUGAGUCGACCCCUAAGGCGAGGCCGAAAGGCGUAGUCGAUGGGAAACGGGUUAAUAUUCCCGUACUUGGUGUUACUGCGAAGGGGGGACGGAGAAGGCUAUGUUGGCCGGGCGACGGUUGUCCCGGUUUAAGCGUGUAGGUGUGUGUUCCAGGUAAAUCCGGUUCACUUUAACACUGAGGCGUGACGACGAGGCACUACGGUGCUGAAGCAACAAAUGCCCUGCUUCCAGGAAAAGCCUCUAAGCAUCAGGUAACAUCAAAUCGUACCCCAAACCGACACAGGUGGUCAGGUAGAGAAUACCAAGGCGCUUGAGAGAACUCGGGUGAAGGAACUAGGCAAAAUGGUGCCGUAACUUCGGGAGAAGGCACGCUGACACGUAGGUGAAGUGAUUUACUCA